This 426-nucleotide ribosomal RNA is filed under the name uncultured Clostridium sp. RNAcentral describes it as "bacterial SSU rRNA". It matches the Rfam family "Bacterial small subunit ribosomal RNA", at positions 355 to 794 of the family's 1533-position model. The record is from RNAcentral. Lineage: Bacteria; Bacillati; Bacillota; Clostridia; Eubacteriales; Clostridiaceae.
GGGGGAGUAUUGCACAAUGGGGGAAACCCGUGAUGCAGCAACGCCGCGUGAAGGAAGAAGGUCUUCGGAUUGUAAACUUUUGUCUUUAGGGAAGAAACAAAUGACGGUACCUAAGGAGGAAGCCACGGCUAACUACGUGCCAGCAGCCGCGGUAAUACGUAGGUGGCAAGCGUUGUCCGGAUUUACUGGGUGUAAAGGGCGUGUAGACGGGACUGCAAGCCAGAUGUGAAAUUUAUGGGCUUAACCCAUAACCUGCAUUUGAAACUGUGGUUCUUGAGUGAUGGAGAGGUAAGCGGAAUUCCUAGUGUAGCGGUGAAAUGCGUAGAUAUUAGGAGGAACACCGGUGGCGAAGGCGGCUUACUGGACAUUAACUGACGUUGAGGCGCGAAAGUGUGGGGAGCAAACAGGAUUAGAUACCCUGGUAGU